Molecule: long non-coding RNA, 319 nt
Filed under: Haliotis rubra (blacklip abalone)
Lineage: Eukaryota; Metazoa; Mollusca; Gastropoda; Lepetellida; Haliotidae
Description: uncharacterized LOC124259760, transcript variant X2
Source: RNAcentral
GCAGAUUUCCUGUUCUUCAUAGGGAAAUCAGGUUAAAACCUGAGAAGGCUUGCAAGGUGAUCAUAGCAUGUGCUGUCCUUCACAACAUAUGCAAGGACAGAAACAUUCCAUUACCACCCACAGAUGGGCAUGAUGGAUUUGGAAGGCAUGAUGGGCAGAAUAGAGGUCUACCAGGAAUCACUACACCAGUGGCUGCACUGAGAUAUAGAGAGCACUUCGCCAAUACAAACUUUCCAUAGCUUCCACUGUGUGGCAUCUUGGAGCAUCUGGAUGGACUGCUGGCUCCUCAGGACCCAUUCUGGCUCCCUCUGGCUGUGGA